GACGAACGCUGGCGGCGUGCUUAACACAUGCAAGUCGAGCGGUAAGGCCCUUUCGGGGUACGCGAGCGCGAACGGUGAGUAACACGUGGUGACCUGCCCUCAGCUCUGGGAUAAGCCUGGGAAACCGGUCUAAUACUGGAUAUGACUCCAUGACGCAUGUUGUGGGGUGGAAAGCCUUGUGCGGCUGAGGAUGGCCCGCGGCCUAUCAGCUUGUUGGUGGGNGAUGG
This 227-nucleotide ribosomal RNA is filed under the name uncultured bacterium. RNAcentral describes it as "partial 16S ribosomal RNA". It matches the Rfam family "Bacterial small subunit ribosomal RNA", at positions 28 to 262 of the family's 1533-position model. The record is from RNAcentral.